This 513-nucleotide ribosomal RNA is filed under the name Zinaida zina asahinai. RNAcentral's name for it is "partial 16S ribosomal RNA". The stretch from base 387 to 513 matches the Rfam family "Bacterial large subunit ribosomal RNA", at positions 2473 to 2600 of the family's 2925-position model. Lineage: Eukaryota; Metazoa; Arthropoda; Insecta; Lepidoptera; Hesperiidae. The record is from RNAcentral.
GUCUUUUUGAAUAAAAUUUAAAGUUGAAUCUGCCCACUGAUGAAUAAUUAAAGGGCUGCAGUAUAUUGACUGUACAAAGGUAGCAUAAUAAUUAGUCUUUUAAUUGAAGACUUGUAUGAAAGAUUUGAUGAAAUAUAAACUGUCUCUUUUUUAUAAUUAGAAUUUAAUUUUUCAGUAAAAAAGCUGAAAUUAAUUUAAAAGACGAGAAGACCCUAUAGAGUUUUAUAAUUGAGUUAAUUAUAUAUUUGUAUUUAAUUUUAAAGUUAAUUGAUUUAAUUAUUUUAUUGGGGUGAUAGAAAAAUUAAAUUAACUUUUUUUAAAUAUUAUACAUUAAUUAAUGAUUUUAUGAUCCAUAUUUUAUGAUUAAAAGAAAAAAUUACCUUAGGGAUAACAGCGUAAUUUUUUUUUUUAGUUCUUAUAAGAAAAAAAGUUUGCGACCUCGAUGUUGGAUUAAGAUAAAAUUUAAAUGCAGAAGUUUAAAAUUUUGAUCUGUUCGAUCAUUAAAAUCUUACA